Molecule: long non-coding RNA, 214 nt
Filed under: Brachypodium distachyon (stiff brome)
Lineage: Eukaryota; Viridiplantae; Streptophyta; Magnoliopsida; Poales; Poaceae
Description: long non-coding RNA (BDIS_LNC001213)
Source: RNAcentral
GCUAUUUUGGUGGUCGGUCUAUGAGAUAGAUCGGUUUUGUACAAGGUUGAUUGGAUCAAUCAUACUCGGGGACCGCUGGCUUCGCCCUGUCGUAGCGCCUUAGAUGUCGUUGCGAGAUUCACAACGCCGAUAGAUAUCGUUUCUAUGCAUAACUUGUUUUGCAGGAUGUUGUGAAUGGUAUGGCUUAUGUGCAUGUGAUGUGUGUAAUCCAUAC